Molecule: non-coding RNA, 529 nt
Organism: Diceros bicornis minor
Lineage: Eukaryota; Metazoa; Chordata; Mammalia; Perissodactyla; Rhinocerotidae
Source: the annotation of a RefSeq genome assembly
UAGUAGCUGUUGCUUCUGUUCUCUGGAACGUCUUUAAUCCUAGGUUCAGAUACAAAGACUGAGCUCUGGGACCAUGAUCCUAGUUUGUCCUUGAAAUAUGAGGCUGGUGACUGGAGUAACCCUGUUUCUGACCUUGGGGACUGCGAUUGAUGCUAAGACCACUCAACCAAGCUCCAUGGAUUAUGCUGAAGGAGAUGAUGUAAACCUACCUUGUAACCACUCUACCAUCAGUGUAGAUGAUUAUAUACAUUGGUAUCGGCAAAAUCCCAAUCAGAGUCCACAGUAUAUAAUUCAUGGCUUACGAAACACUGUGAACAACAGCAUAGCUUCUCUGACCUUUGCAACGGACAGAAAGUCCAGUACCUUGAUCCUGCGCCAGGUCACACUGAGAGACACCACUGUGUACUACUGCAUCUUUGCUGUAAUAGUGUGUAAGGGAGUUGAUCCUGUCUUUGGAUUUGGUGGUCCGGUGAAAUGGAAGAGAGGAAUUGUGCUGAUUGACGGCAUUUAUAAAAGAGCUUUAGAAUAA